AGAGUUUGAUCCUGGCUCAGAUUGAACGCUGGCGGCAUGCCUUACACAUGCAAGUCGAACGGCAGCACGAGAGCUUGCUCUUGGUGGCGAGUGGCGAACGGGUGAGUAAUAUAUCGGAACGUACCCUAGAGUGGGGGAUAACGUAGCGAAAGUUACGCUAAUACCGCAUACGAUCUACGGAUGAAAGUGGGGGAUCGCAAGACCUCAUGCUCAUGGAGCGGCCGAUAUCUGAUUAGCUAGUUGGUGGGGUAAAAGCUCACCAAGGCGACGAUCAGUAGCUGGUCUGAGAGGACGACCAGCCACACUGGAACUGAGACACGGUCCAGACUCCUACGGGAGGCAGCAGUGGGGAAUUUUGGACAAUGGGCGCAAGCCUGAUCCAGCAAUGCCGCGUGAGUGAAGAAGGCCUUCGGGUUGUAAAGCUCUUUUGUCAGGGAAGAAACGGUGGACUCUAAUACAGAUCACUAAUGACGGUACCUGAAGAAUAAGCACCGGCUAACUACGUGCCAGCAGCCGCGGUAAUACGUAGGGUGCAAGCGUUAAUCGGAAUUACUGGGCGUAAAGCGUGCGCAGGCGGUUGUGCAAGACAGAUGUGAAAUCCCCGGGCUCAACCUGGGAAUUGCAUUUGUGACUGCACGGCUAGAGUGUGUCAGAGGAGGGUAGAAUUCCACGUGUAGCAGUGAAAUGCGUAGAGAUGUGGAGGAAUACCGAUGGCGAAGGCAGCCCCCUGGGAUAACACUGACGCUCAUGCACGAAAGCGUGGGGAGCAAACAGGAUUAGAUACCCUGGUAGUCCACGCCCUAAACGAUGUCUACUAGUUGUCGGGUCUUAAUUGACUUGGUAACGCAGCUAACGCGUGAAGUAGACCGCCUGGGGAGUACGGUCGCAAGAUUAAAACUCAAAGGAAUUGACGGGGACCCGCACAAGCGGUGGAUGAUGUGGAUUAAUUCGAUGCAACGCGAAAAACCUUACCUACCCUUGACAUGUCUGGAAUCCUUGAGAGAUCAGGGAGUGCUCGAAAGAGAAUCAGAACACAGGUGCUGCAUGGCUGUCGUCAGCUCGUGUCGUGAGAUGUUGGGUUAAGUCCCGCAACGAGCGCAACCCUUGUCAUUAGUUGCUACGAAAGGGCACUCUAAUGAGACUGCCGGUGACAAACCGGAGGAAGGUGGGGAUGACGUCAAGUCCUCAUGGCCCUUAUGGGUAGGGCUUCACACGUCAUACAAUGGUACAUACAGAGGGCCGCCAACCCGCGAGGGGGAGCUAAUCCCAGAAAGUGUAUCGUAGUCCGGAUUGUAGUCUGCAACUCGACUACAUGAAGUUGGAAUCGCUAGUAAUCGCGGAUCAGCAUGUCGCGGUGAAUACGUUCCCGGGUCUUGUACACACCGCCCGUCACACCAUGGGAGCGGGUUUCACCAGAAGUGGGUAGCCUAACCGCAAGGAGGGCGCUCACCACGGUGGGAUUCGUGACUGGGGUGAAGUCGUAACAAGGUA
RNAcentral lists this ribosomal RNA (1491 nucleotides) under metagenome. RNAcentral describes it as "bacterial SSU rRNA". It matches the Rfam family "Bacterial small subunit ribosomal RNA". The record is from RNAcentral.